UUUUCCCCCCUCUUUUUUCCGGGGAAUGAAGUGAAACUACAGCUCAAUGUUUAAAGACUACAAAACUAGCUACUGGCGUCACUGUUCGGUUUGAUCGUCGAUCACUGAUUAGUCAUCGAUCAUCGGAACAUAUUUCUGUCAACCCGUCAGGAUGUCAGCUGUGAAGAUGACAGAGGGGAGUGUGGAGCUCGUCCUGGGGUGCUGCAAAGUGCCGCUCUUCUACAGACAGAGUGAACCUGCCACGGGGGAAGCGAGGACGUCAGUUUUACUCCUUCACGGGAUCCGUUUCUCAUCAGAAAACUGGCUCAACAUCGGCACUCUGGAGACUCUGGCCAAAGCUGGCUGCCGCGCUGUCGCCAUAGAUCUGCCAGGACUCGGCCGGUCUAAGUCAGCUGAGGCCCCGGUGGCAGUGGGAGAACUGGCCCCUGCAAGUUUCCUGAAGGAUGUGUGUGAGCAGCUGAGCCUGAGCCCGGUGGUGCUGAUCAGCCCAUCCCUCAGUGGGAUGUACUCCCUCCCCUUCCUCAUGCAGCACCCGGCUCUAAUACAAGCCUACGUCCCUGUAGCUCCCAUCUGCACAGAGAAAUUCACAGCAGAGCAGUACCAGAGCGUAAAGGUUCCCUCGCUCAUCGUCUAUGGCGACCAGGACGCUCAGCUCGGUGAGACGUCGCUCCGGAACCUGAGCAGUCUGGCCAAUCACAGCGUGGUGGUGAUGAAAGGGGCGGGUCAUCCCUGUUACCUGGACGACCCAGACACUUGGCACAAAGCUCUCACAGACUUCCUUAACGCACUCUGAAGCUCACAUCAGUCACAGAGAAAUCAUAGUCAUUCCAUCAUCAACAACGAAAACGCUACACAGCAAAAAGUUUCAUCUGUACAAAAGAAUGGAGCGACAUGGACCAGUGCCCAGAAAAGAAGGAGUGAAAUCUUCCACACACACACACACACACACGACAUUCACACUCGCAUACAUACACGAUAAAACAAACCAAAAAAAAUAAAUGAAAAACAUUUCAACUUCAGAUCUCAAACUUAUCAACAGCGCAGUUUUUUUUUGUACUUAUACUUAAUAUUGGACUGAUUUCACUCUUUUUUUCCUCCUCUAAACGUUAUUUUUUUGUCCCCACACUUGUCAAACAUGGUCACAUCACCAGACUACAGACUACAGAAUCACAUACACACGUGUCUUUCCCACAGAGAUGCACCGACACAGAUGCAGCGAGAGUCAGGAGGGGGACUGAGUUUAAAGUGGUCUCUCCCUUUCAUCCCCAAGCUGGACCAAUUUUCUGUUUUUAUUUUUUUUUUUGUGUGGCAAAAGUAAAUUUGUCAAACCACAGAAAUCAUACAUGUCCCUUCCGUCAGGAUGCAAACACACACACACACACACAGACGUCACUACGUGAUUCCUCCGUGCCCUCCGGGCCCAUGCUGCUCUGUGGAGACCCACUCCCUGAGCUUGCCUCCGACAUCCUGCCCACUCUCAAGAAAAAAAAACAACAAAGCAACAAAAAGAAUCACACACCAGGGAAGUGACAUCCUCGCUUUACUUCCGCCCCGGUGCUCGACAUCUCCCGCAUGGGCAAUGAAUAAGUGUCGGUAAGCGUUUACUUGUACAUAUGUGUGCAUAAUGUCUCGGUGCAUGUGCACAAACUGUAGGCCCACGUAUUCAUGUCUAUGUGUGAGACUGUAUGUGUACAGAGCCAGGAGAAGAGAGAGAGUAAGUUGCAGGGGGUACAUUUCCACAGGCACGUGUAGCGUUAAUUUACAGAUAGUGGAAAUAGGGCAAUACAGACAGAAUUAAUGGCACAGGAACGGAGACAAACAGAUGCCAGAAAAGUAGAACUGCAUCGGGCGUCACGUGACUUGAAUUUGAAAAUACAUAUGUUUAAUUUUCAAAUAUUUUUUUUUUAACAGUCAUUUUCAUACUUUUUUCUCUUUUUUCCUCUUUUAUUAAAGUCUGAUUUAUUCAGAGCCGCGCCGCAGUGAACUGUGCCAGCAUUUUUGUCACAUCAAAGAGUACCAACAACCGUACAGAGUGUGCAAGUUAAAGUUCAAAUCAUCGUGUGAAUCUUCCCACCUGAGUAAUACAGUGAGGUUUGGGUGGGUGUGCACAUUGAAGGUCGGAUGUGGGUUUAUUUUGUUUUUUUUUUGUUUGUUUUUUUUUUGUACUUUUUAAAAACUCCCACCUGCUUUCAAGCGUUUAAUCGUCGAACAAGCAUCAGUCAAUAUAGCGAAUCAUUCCAAGACGUGAAAAUACAAAACUAGAGCUCACUAUACUUAACUGCAGAACACAGAGAAAACCCAGAGGAGGGAGUGUUUUGGAGGAUCUAUUUGUGUGUGUGUGCACGCGUGUGAGAAAACCUGUGUAUGGGAG
RNA transcript from Solea solea (common sole), 2371 nucleotides. It is a transcript of the gene named abhydrolase domain containing 14B, with no coding region annotated. The record is from RefSeq and is a predicted model, not a curated record. The transcript has 5 exons. NCBI's taxonomy places the organism in Eukaryota, Metazoa, Chordata, Actinopteri, Pleuronectiformes, Soleidae.